UACUUCCGGAUUUUAUUCAGAUUGCUGUUGUCAUGCUGUCGGGUUUUGUAGAUUGUUUUGUUUUGUCCUGCCCCUCGCGUUAUCACUUCCUGUUUUAUUUUGUACAGAUCACGGGUCCUUCCUCUGCACGGCCGUCCACUUGACCUCCCUGCUUUGCCCGUGAGACUUUGCCUUUAUUUUUCCCUCAGUUUGAGGCGCUUUUUGUUUGCUGUUCUCAGCCCUUUUUUCCCUCGUGUUGAGGAGCUUUUGUUUAUGCCCUUUUUCCCUCAUGUUGAGGCGCUUUUGUUUUUGCGCUUUUUCCCUCAUCGUGAGGAGUCUUUUGUUCUUGGAGCUGUUGGCAACGAAGGAAAUAAACUCCUUGAUUUUUUUUAAACUCUGCAUUCGAGUCCUCUCCCUGCCCUGAGCCUGACAGCUGUGAUUAUUUACGGCAAUGGGUCCCAUUUUAUUAGUCUUUGGUAUGACCUGGCUGGGUUUUGAACUCAUAACCUUCCAGUUUCAGGGUGGACACUACCACUAGGCCACAGAGCUGGAGCUUUUGUGUUGUGUUUAGUUUCUAUAAACUUUUAGCUUUUUUUUUUUUUAAACUAUUUUAGCAGAUGCACUGAUUGUUUGGCAUUUUUAAUUUUGUUGUACAUGUGACAAUAAAGAUCUAUUUAUCCAUCUGUGUAACUAAUAAAGUUGUGACGCUAUGCCCAAACGGCUUUUUUUUUACUCCACCACGCAUUAAAGCGGGUGGAGAAGCCAAGCUGCCUUCGUUACAGCAAACCUGAAGACAGAGGUAAGUGGUUUCUCAGGUAUCUCCCCUCCAACUUCAAAUUUGUGAUGUGCCUAGUUUGUUUAUUUAUUUUAUACAAAUACAAGCAACAUUCCAAGUUGCUUUGGCCGCUUUCGGUCAUCCGUUUUGCAAUUUGUCCGAGUGAAGGCAAAGUGCUUCGCCUUAUCGCUAAAUGCUGCAGUGGGACAUGCGUUCGCCAGAUUGACAAGAACUUUGCACAUUUUUUGAAAUUUUCUUCACAGGCUUGGAAUGAAAUGGAAAUGUGUAUACAAAUAAAAGAUCCGAAAAAUUCGUAAUUUUUAUUGUUUGGCACUUUCUCUUUCAGCAUGAACAGAAAAGUAAUCAAAAUGUGGUGGACGCGGCGCGACAUUCGACCUGUGAAAUGGAUGGGCAUUAUGAAAACGUAACUGUUGCCCUCUGUGAUGGUAAGACCCCUUUUAAGAUGACUCUUUUCAGUCAUCUGGCUAGCAGAGUCACAGAGGUCAACAGUUACGUUUUCGCCCAUUUCAUGGCGGAGGCAAUAAAUCCCAACAUGCUGCUAUGUCAAAAGAGCAGCAGAAUAUACGUGGGGCGAAGGUGCAGUGCAGCGAUGCCUUGAGGGCUGAGGCACUCCACCUCAUUUUCCCCCCGUCGUUGCCAAUGCCCCUCAGCGAGGUUAUCAGAAACCCUCCUGAGGGGCUGGUAAACGUUCAGGGACAGGUUGAAAGUGUAAGUUUAAUUUACACGCACGUGCAUGUUAAAUAUCUAUUUAGAACUACUAAAAAUACAAAAAAUUGUUUUCUUGCAUUAAACAUUGCAGGAUAACGCAAUGGUAUGUCUUUGUUCCAAAUUAGAAACAGCCAAGCAGAAUAGUGUCUGUGCGCGGGGCUCGGUUGGUGCCAGUAAGCAUCGUGUUCCUAAAACAAAACGAAGCGGUCGUAAGAGUGGCCGUGUGGAGGGAGGCGACCUUGACCCCGAUCAAGGUUGGGGCCUUCUACACGUUCUCGCUCCUUAGUGCCGUGACAAAUGAUUUCGGCCUGUCCCUCAAUACGACCCAGUAUUCAAAGAUAUCGGGCUACAAUACAACUGUAAGCUUGGUGGCUAUUGGGCUAAUGAUGGAGGAGGAGGAGGAGGUCAAGUUGGUGGAUGGGGAGGGGGUCGAAACCACAAUUGCCUUGAGUGUAUGGACCAAGACUUUCGUUGAGCCACCAAAAUUACCAGAAGAUGGACUCCAAUUGAAACUCAUUUAUUCGGAGGGUGAAGUGGUGGAAAUUUGCAAAUAAAUUUUAUUUUGCCAA
Long non-coding RNA from Syngnathus typhle (broad-nosed pipefish), 2052 nucleotides. RefSeq lists it as uncharacterized. The transcript has 3 exons. NCBI's taxonomy places the organism in Eukaryota, Metazoa, Chordata, Actinopteri, Syngnathiformes, Syngnathidae. The record is from RefSeq and is a predicted model, not a curated record.